Molecule: long non-coding RNA, 1338 nt
Organism: Bactrocera tryoni
Lineage: Eukaryota; Metazoa; Arthropoda; Insecta; Diptera; Tephritidae
Exons: 2
Source: RefSeq, a predicted model, not a curated record
UAAUUUUUUUUAAUUAUUUUUGUCUCAUUUUUGUAUAAUAAAAAACUUGUUGAUUUCGUGUAACAUCUUACUGCCUUUCUACUACAUAUUCGUCUACUUAUAAAAUACUUAAAACACACACGUGUUAAAAACUCUAAGAAAAUAUAGAAAACAGUAACGGUUUGCAUUCUGAAGUUUUGAAAAUGCAACUUAACAGUAGUACAGUACGGGCAAGAAUAGUAAGCUGCAAGACACUGAAUAACCUUACAAUUUUACCACAAUUUUGUAUGACGUCAUACAUAGCGAUAAAUAAAAUAUUUUCAAAUUUUACAAUUUCAAAAUAAUUUUAGAAAAUAAUUUAAACAACACUUAACAGCCAAAAAUUACUUUAUCUUUGUUAAAAUACUUGUAUUUCAUAUGACAUAUCCCUUAUAAACGGAUACUAAUAAGACCAGCCUUUUUGUCUGGUUCAUAGAGCUGCCUGCUUAAUAAAGUUGUCCGCUUAAUUGAUUGUCCUUAAACAAACAUCAAAAAAUGUUGGGACAAGUCAAUGUGAACGUUAAUGGAAAUGUCCGUUUAUUAGAGCGUCCGUUUAAAAGAACUUUCAUUAUAUUACCUUUGAAAUCCAUAGUUUUGGCAUCAAAUUUUUACCGUUCGAACCCCUCUACAAUGCUUUUUUCCUUUAUAAGUCAUGCCUUAAAAAAAACUUUUUUUUAAUUUAUAAAUCUUCUGAAAUUACAUAUUUUAGGACUGACUUCAAGUUUUAUAUACAACUUUCUUUGUUGCGAGACCUAUAAAAAUAAAAUAAAAAUGCCUCGAAUUCAAGUUAUAAAAGAGAGUUAUGUCAUAUACAUAUGUAGAUCGCAUCGUACUGAAGGAUCGUUUCUAAGAGUUAUUUUAAAUUUUGAAGUGACAGUCAAGUUAAGGAGUUAUUUGGGUUUUGGAAUUUCAAAAAAUACGAUGAUAUACCCAGACGCGUAGUCCCUUAAAAGGUCAUAAGUCGUCAAAAGUAAAUACUGUCAAUUUAAGCUACUCUGACCAACUUACACCAAACUUAACACCGGCUUUCGAACACCGGCCUCGAAAAAUACCUUAGAAAGAGAAUUCGGAAAUUUUGGUAGCUUACAGACUUCGAAAAAUGCCUUAGAAAGUGAAUUUGCAUAUUUUUGCAGCUUACAGACAGUAGAAAUGUCUAGAAUCUUAGUAAAAAUCAAAACACUAAAAUUAGGUUAAGUCGACUUAAGCGGCUUUAACAUUUUGCCAGAGUUUCAUAUUGGCACAAAAACGUGAUUUUAGUCGACAAAGAGUUCCACAUAAACAUAUGCUAACAACAACAAUUAUUCUAACAUAAUAAUACAA